RNAcentral lists this ribosomal RNA (1469 nucleotides) under Escherichia coli. RNAcentral describes it as "partial 23S ribosomal RNA". It matches the Rfam family "Bacterial large subunit ribosomal RNA", at positions 418 to 1874 of the family's 2925-position model. Lineage: Bacteria; Pseudomonadati; Pseudomonadota; Gammaproteobacteria; Enterobacterales; Enterobacteriaceae. The record is from RNAcentral.
CGGGACACGUGGUAUCCUGUCUGAAUAUGGGGGGACCAUCCUCCAAGGCUAAAUACUCCUGACUGACCGAUAGUGAACCAGUACCGUGAGGGAAAGGCGAAAAGAACCCCGGCGAGGGGAGUGAAAAAGAACCUGAAACCGUGUACGUACAAGCAGUGGGAGCCUCUUUAUGGGGUGACUGCGUACCUUUUGUAUAAUGGGUCAGCGACUUAUAUUCUGUAGCAAGGUUAACCGAAUAGGGGAGCCGAAGGGAAACCGAGUCUUAACUGGGCGUUAAGUUGCAGGGUAUAGACCCGAAACCCGGUGAUCUAGCCAUGGGCAGGUUGAAGGUUGGGUAACACUAACUGGAGGACCGAACCGACUAAUGUUGAAAAAUUAGCGGAUGACUUGUGGCUGGGGGUGAAAGGCCAAUCAAACCGGGAGAUAGCUGGUUCUCCCCGAAAGCUAUUUAGGUAGCGCCUCGUGAAUUCAUCUCCGGGGGUAGAGCACUGUUUCGGCAAGGGGGUCAUCCCGACUUACCAACCCGAUGCAAACUGCGAAUACCGGAGAAUGUUAUCACGGGAGACACACGGCGGGUGCUAACGUCCGUCGUGAAGAGGGAAACAACCCAGACCGCCAGCUAAGGUCCCAAAGUCAUGGUUAAGUGGGAAACGAUGUGGGAAGGCCCAGACAGCCAGGAUGUUGGCUUAGAAGCAGCCAUCAUUUAAAGAAAGCGUAAUAGCUCACUGGUCGAGUCGGCCUGCGCGGAAGAUGUAACGGGGCUAAACCAUGCACCGAAGCUGCGGCAGCGACACUAAGUGUUGUUGGGUAGGGGAGCGUUCUGUAAGCCUGUGAAGGUGUACUGUGAGGUAUGCUGGAGGUAUCAGAAGUGCGAAUGCUGACAUAAGUAACGAUAAAGCGGGUGAAAAGCCCGCUCGCCGGAAGACCAAGGGUUCCUGUCCAACGUUAAUCGGGGCAGGGUGAGUCGACCCCUAAGGCGAGGCCGAAAGGCGUAGUCGAUGGGAAACAGGUUAAUAUUCCUGUACUUGGUGUUACUGCGAAGGGGGGACGGAGAAGGCUAUGUUGGCCGGGCGACGGUUGUCCCGGUUUAAGCGUGUAGGCUGGUUUUCCAGGCAAAUCCGGAAAAUCAAGGCUGAGGCGUGAUGACGAGGCACUACGGUGCUGAAGCAACAAAUGCCCUGCUUCCAGGAAAAGCCUCUAAGCAUCAGGUAACAUCAAAUCGUACCCCAAACCGACACAGGUGGUCAGGUAGAGAAUACCAAGGCGCUUGAGAGAACUCGGGUGAAGGAACUAGGCAAAAUGGUGCCGUAACUUCGGGAGAAGGCACGCUGAUAUGUAGGUGAAGCGACUUGCUCGUGGAGCUGAAAUCAGUCGAAGAUACCAGCUGGCUGCAACUGUUUAUUAAAAACACAGCACUGUGCAAACACGAAAGUGGACGUAUACGGUGUGACGCCUGCCCGGUGCCGGAA